This is a long non-coding RNA of Lagopus muta (rock ptarmigan), 945 nucleotides long. RefSeq lists it as uncharacterized. The transcript has 3 exons. NCBI's taxonomy places the organism in Eukaryota, Metazoa, Chordata, Aves, Galliformes, Phasianidae. The record is from RefSeq and is a predicted model, not a curated record.
UGUUGUUGUGGUGUUGUCACAGUGUGGGGUUGGGUUGUGUUGUUGUCACCAUGUUGUGUUGUGUUGUUGUCACCAUGUUGUGUUGUUGUCACCAUGUUGUGUUGUGUUGUUGUCACCAUGUUGUGUUGUUGUCACCAUGUUGUGUUGUGUUGUUGUCACCAUGUUGUGUUGUUGUCACCAGGUUGUGUUGUGUUGUUGUCACCAUGUUGUGUUGUUGUCACCAUGUUGUGUUGUUGUCCCCAUGUUGUGUUGUUGUCACCAUGUUGUGUUGUUGUCACCACGUUGUGUUGUGUUGUUGUCACCAUGUUGUGUUGUGUUGUUGUCGCCAUGUUGUGUUGUGUUGUUGUCACCAUGUUGUGUUGUUGUCACCAUGUUGUGUUGUUGUCACCAUGUUGUGUUGUUGUCACCAUGUUGUGUUGUGUUGUUGUCACCAUGUUGUGUUGUGUUGUUGUCACCAUGUUGUGUUGUUGUCACCAUGUUGUGUUGUUGUCACCAUGUUGUGUUGUUGUCACCAUGUUGUGUUGUGUUGUUGUCACCAUGUUGUGUUGUGUUGUUGUCGCCAUGUUGUGUUGUGUUGUUGUCACCAUGUUGUGUUGUUGUCACCAUGUUGUGUUGUGUUGUUGUCACCAUGUUGUGUUGUUGUCGCCAUGUUGUGUUGUGUUGUUGUCACCAUGUUGUGUUGUGUUGUUGUCACCAUGUUGUGUUGUUGUCACCAUGUUGUGUUGUUGUCACCAUGUUGUGUUGUUGUCACCAUGUUGGGUUGUGUUGUUGUCACCAUGUUGUGUUGUUGUCACCAUGUUGUGUUGUUGUCACCAUGUUGUGUUGUGUUGUUGUCACCAUGUUGUGUUGUGUUGUUGUCACCAUGUUGUGUUGUUGUCACCAUGUUGUGUUGUGUUGUUGUCACCAUGUUGUGUUGUGUUGUUGUCACCUUGUUGUGUUGUGUUG